AGCGAACGCUGGCGGCAGGCCUAACACAUGCAAGUCGAACGAACCUUUCGGGGUUAGUGGCGGACGGGUGAGUAACACGUGGGAACGUGCCUUUAGGUUCGGAAUAACUCAGGGAAACUUGUGCUAAUACCGAAUGUGCCCUUCGGGGGAAAGAUUUAUCGCCUUUAGAGCGGCCCGCGUCUGAUUAGCUAGUUGGUUGAGGUAAUGGCUCACCAAGGCGACGAUCAGUAGCUGGUCUGAGAGGAUGAUCAGCCACAUUGGGACUGAGACACGGCCCAAACUCCUACGGGAGGCAGCAGUGGGGAAUCUUGCGCAAUGGGCGAAAGCCUGACGCAGCCAUGCCGCGUGAAUGAUGAAGGUCUUAGGAUUGUAAAAUUCUUUCACCGGGGACGAUAAUGACGGUACCCGGAGAAGAAGCCCGACUAACUUCGUG
This 433-nucleotide ribosomal RNA is filed under the name uncultured bacterium. RNAcentral describes it as "partial 16S ribosomal RNA". It matches the Rfam family "Bacterial small subunit ribosomal RNA", at positions 29 to 507 of the family's 1533-position model. The record is from RNAcentral.